Dioscorea cayenensis subsp. rotundata (Guinea yam) is the source of this 157-nucleotide long non-coding RNA. RefSeq lists it as uncharacterized. NCBI's taxonomy places the organism in Eukaryota, Viridiplantae, Streptophyta, Magnoliopsida, Dioscoreales, Dioscoreaceae. The record is from RefSeq and is a predicted model, not a curated record. The transcript has 3 exons.
CUAUCUUUUCAACACUCUCUUUUCCGGCCAUCGUAGAUCGUUUUAGGGAGUGGUCUUGGAUCUCAUUUUGCAAUUAGGCCAAUACCAGAUCAAGAGUGGUAGACCGGUGUGGAUCUUGAAAGACUAUCUGUAGAUGUUGCUUGUCCUGUUAUAAAAU